ACAAUUCAAAUGCUGUAUGGCCUAUGAUCAAAUGUGAAGUUCUCAGUAAAAUGGAAUGAAAAUGCCCGUCUGAGCUGUUGAUAACUGGUAGAAAUAUGCAGUCUGUAGAUCGGUGUAUAGUUUUUACGUAAAUGCUUAUUUAAUGAUUACUUUCUCGCUCUCAAAUGAAAUUCCUGUAAUGAAAGGGGAAAACGGGAUAAUUUUGUAAAACAUCAUGAAUGCGAGAAAGGUUCGUUUGGCGAUGAUGAAUAGUGUUUCAUUUUCCAGCAUAUUUAAAUAAGUACAUUGGUGCGUCCUGUGUCUGACAACUUUGACUGGUGUAGCAACUCUGGUUGUAUGUGUCAGGAGGUUGAGCAUGCGUCGGCUGCAGGGAAGUUGAUGAUGUACUUGGAGGAGCUGCAGCUUGGGAAAAUGUAGAUUCUACUGAGGAACGUUGUCCUAAAUGUUCUAAUCCAAGAGCUUAUUUCAUGCAGAUUCAAACAAGAUCAGCAGAUGAGCCUAUGACUACU
RNA transcript from Schistocerca serialis cubense, 509 nucleotides. It is a transcript of the gene named DNA-directed RNA polymerase III subunit RPC10, with no coding region annotated. Lineage: Eukaryota; Metazoa; Arthropoda; Insecta; Orthoptera; Acrididae. The transcript has 2 exons. The record is from RefSeq and is a predicted model, not a curated record.